AUGAACGCUGGCGGCGUGCCUAAUACAUGCAAGUCGCGCGAACAGAUAAGGAGCUUGCUCCUUUGACGUUAGCGGCGGACGGGUGAGUAACACGUGGGUAACGUACCUAUAAGACUGGGAUAACUUCGGGAAACCGGAGCUAAUACCGGAUAACAUUUGGAACCGCAUGGUUCUAAAGUGAAAGAUGGUUUUGCUAUCACUUAUAGAUGGACCCGCGCCGUAUUAGCUAGUUGGUAAGGUAACGGCUUACCAAGGCGACGAUACGUAGCCGACCUGAGAGGGUGAUCGGCCACACUGGAACUGAGACACGGUCCAGACUCCUACGGGAGGCAGCAGUAGGGAAUCUUCCGCAAUGGGCGAAAGCCUGACGGAGCAACGCCGCGUGAGUGAUGAAGGGUUUCGGCUCGUAAAACUCUGUUAUUAGGGAAGAACAAAUGUGUAAGUAACUGUGCACGUCUUGACGGUACCUAAUCAGAAAGCCACGGCUAACUACGUG
RNAcentral lists this ribosomal RNA (496 nucleotides) under uncultured bacterium. RNAcentral's name for it is "partial 16S ribosomal RNA". It matches the Rfam family "Bacterial small subunit ribosomal RNA", at positions 29 to 507 of the family's 1533-position model. The record is from RNAcentral.